RNAcentral lists this transfer RNA (63 nucleotides) under Ciona savignyi (Pacific transparent sea squirt). RNAcentral describes it as "tRNA (ENSCSAVG00000012498.1)". Lineage: Eukaryota; Metazoa; Chordata; Ascidiacea; Phlebobranchia; Cionidae. The record is from RNAcentral.
AAAUCUUUAUUUUAUAUAAAAUAUCAUUUUUGCAGAAUGAAGAAAAAAGUUUUUUAAGAUUUA